RNAcentral lists this ribosomal RNA (785 nucleotides) under uncultured bacterium. RNAcentral describes it as "bacterial SSU rRNA". It matches the Rfam family "Bacterial small subunit ribosomal RNA", at positions 57 to 873 of the family's 1533-position model. The record is from RNAcentral.
GCAGUCGAACGAUCGCAAGAUAGUGGCGCACGGGUGAGGAACACGUAGCUAACCUGCCUUUGGGUCUGGGAUAACGUCGCGAAAGUGACGCUAAGACCGGAUAAGCUCCCGGGUUGUAGAGACCAGAGAGAAAAGGGGCAAGACGCCUGAAGAGGGGGCUGCGGCGCAUCAGCUAGUUGGUGGGGUAAAGGCCUACCAAGGCAACGACGCGUAAGGGGUCUGAGAGGAUGAUCCCUCACACUGGGACUGAGACACGGCCCAGACUCCUACGGGAGGCAGCAGUGAGGAAUAUUGCACAAUGGGGGGAACCCUGAUGCAGCGACGCCGCGUGGGUGAUGACGGCCUUCGGGUUGUAAAGCCCUUUUGCCAUUGACGAGAACGGACGGUAGAUGGCGAAUAAGCCUCGGCUAACUACGUGCCAGCAGCCGCGGUAAAACGUAGGAGGCGAGCGUUAUCCGGAGUUACUGGGCGUAAAGCGUGCGCAGGCGGUGCCAUAAGUCAGGUGUGAAAGGUUCCGGCUCAACCGGGAAAACGCGCUUGAGACUGUGGGACUAGAGUGGGAUAGAGGGACGUGGAAUUCCGGGUGGAGCGGUGAAAUGUGUAGAGAUCCGGAGGAACACCAGAGGCGCAAGCGGCGUCCUGGGUCCCAACUGACGCUGAGGCACGAAAGCUUGGGGAGCGAACGGGAUUAGAGACCCCGGUAGUCCAAGCCGUAAACGAUACAGACUCGGUGUCCACUCUCGCAAGGGAGGGGGCGCCACAGCUAACGCGAUAAGUCUGCCGCC